Elaeis guineensis (African oil palm) is the source of this 2675-nucleotide non-coding RNA. The record is from RefSeq and is a predicted model, not a curated record. NCBI's taxonomy places the organism in Eukaryota, Viridiplantae, Streptophyta, Magnoliopsida, Arecales, Arecaceae.
CCGAAUCUAAUUCGAACCCUAAGGCCAACCCUAACCCUAGAGCUCGAGAAGCGAAUUCAUGGCAGAGGGGAGGAAGCGGUGCCUCUACGAGGUUCUGGGCGUCCAUCGCGACUGCUCCCAGGAUGAGAUUCGCGCCGCCUACAAGCGCCUCGCCCUCCAGCUCCACCCCGACAAGCUCGCCUCCUCCGCCUCCGCCACCUCCGCCGCCGACGCCACCGCCGCCUUCCAAGAGCUCCGCCAUGCCUACGAGGUCCUCUCGGACCCCAAGGAGCGCGCCUGGUACGACUCCCACCGCUCCCAGAUCCUCUUCUCCUCCCCCUCCUCCGCCUCCAAGUCCCACCGCCCCUCUGCCUUCUUCGAUCUCGACCUCUACGCCUUCUUCUCCAACUCCGCCUUCUCCGGCUACUCCGAUGCCGGCAAGGGCUUCUACAGGGUCUAUGGCGAUCUUUUCGACAAGGUCUACGCCCAGGAGCUAUGGUUCGCCAAGGAAUUGGACCUGGGCGCCGACGCCGUCGCCCCCGCCCCUUUGAUCGGCAAUCUCGACAGCUCCUACUCCCAAGUCACCGCCUUUUACAAUUAUUGGCUUGGGUUUUGCACCGUGAUGGACUUCGGUUGGGUAGACGAGUACGACGCAUCGAUGGGGCCGAACCGGAGGACGAGACGGGCGAUGGAGGAGGAGAACAAGAAGGUGAGGAAGAAGGCGAAGAGGGAGUACAUCGACACGGUCCGCGGGUUGGCGGCGUUCGUGAAGAAGAGGGACAAGAGGGUGAUCGAUAUGACGGCGAAGAGGAACUUGGAGGAGGAGAAGAGGCGGGCGGAGGAGAAGGCGAGGAAGAAGGAGGAGGAAAGGAAGAAGAUGGAGAGAGCGAGGAUGUAUGAAGAACCUGAGUGGGCGAAGAUCGAUGAAGAAGAAGAAAAGACUGCUAUGAGAGGUGGGUUUGAUGACUUAGAGGAGGAGGAUGAUAAAAAGAAGAAAAAGAAAGAGGGUGCCGGUGAGGAACUCUACUGUGUGGUGUGUAAUAAGAAGUUUAAGUCGGAUAAGCAGUGGAAGAAUCACGAGCAAUCGAAGAAGCACAGGGAUAAGGUUGCGGAGCUGAGGAUGACAUUCAAGGAGGAAGACAAGGUCUUGGAGGAGGAGGAGGAGGAGGCGGCGGAUGAAGAGGGAGUCCAUGUAGGAUUUGAUUAUGAACCACCAGAGUCAGAGGAGAGUGAUAUGGUGGAUGAACUAUGUGAAGAAUUGAGGGAGGAGAUCAGAUUUCAGGAGGAUGGGAGUGAUGAUGAGGAUUUGGAGUACAGUGAUCGAAAAGUGGGUUCAGAUGAUGAGGCUAGCAUUUUGGAAGCCAUGGUUUCAGGGCAUAAGAAUAGGAAGAAUGAUUCUCAGGAUCUACAUGAUUCAACGUCCAAUUAUGAUCAUUAUCUUGAUAAUGAUGAGCAAAAUUCGAUAGGAUAUGAUUCCAAAAGAAGUCGCAAGAAUCGAGCACCAAAGAAACGGACAGGGGCAGACAUGUAUGAUGAAGCAAAGAGGCCAGAGAUGGGUGAGUCCCAGCAGGAGGACAGUGAAGUUCAGAAUCAGGAAGACAAUAUUGAGGAUAAUAAGGAGGUUAUUUCUAGUCCUUUAGAGGAGGUCGCAACCAGAAGUAAGGGAGGUCGAGCUACAGUAAAGAAUCAGAAGUCUAAAAAGCAAUCAGUGGAUGGAAAGGGAGCUGGAAGAAAAGACACAACUGCUGACUCAAAGAACCCAUCAAAAGGAAGGAAACAGAAGACUGAUUCAUGAAAGUAGUUAAGGUUUUGAGUGAACUCUAAAAGGAUACUGUUGGUAGUAAAUGGGGUCAAGGAAGGUUCAAGGUUGAAGUGGGAAGAAAUCAAUGGAUCAAGGUGGUCAGAUGGCAGAAUGCGUAUGUUCGCUGGUGCAAGAAUCGACAGCAAAAGGUCUGCUGAAAUUAGUGAUGCUAGGUUCUAGAAGUUCUGGACCUCUUGCCAAUAGAUUUAGGGUGGAGUUUGUUGGUAAAGGGGUUUGGAUGUAUCUAGAAUUAAAAGAUUCAUAAUCUGAGGAUCCUUGAAGUUUUUCCUGAAUAACUUGUGGAGAUUAAAAUGCACAAUCAACUCCACCCACGUGUCUUCCCCUUUUAUGCAUGAGCAGUCUACAAGUGCCUUAUGGCAACCUCAAAGGCUCUAAGUAAUGCAUGUGACACAUGUGGAGAGAGCUUUGAAUCAAGGAACAAGUUAUUUGUACAUUUAGGUGCCACAGGCCAUGCUAUGUUGAAAUCACGGUAAAGGAAUGCAGAUUGCUGAUGAAAGAAACUUAUUCUUUUGUGUAUCAUAUGUGGUGUUGUUUUCUGGAAAGGCCAAUCAAGCAGACAUCACUUUCCAGACUCGAGGUAUAUGAAUAGUCUACUGGGAUCAGAGCUCCUCUUCUUACUUAAGAGCCCAGUUGUAAAUUGCUGCACCAACAGCAAAGAGGAAAAAGAAAACAGAAAAUUAAAUUUUGAGACCGGAUAAAGUUCUUGAUUUGACCUUUUAAAAUUGUGAUUCUUGCACGAGGAAUUUGAAUUCCAUCAGCACAAUCUUAAUUAUAUAGAAACAUUCAUUUGAUUUUUUUUUUUUUUAUUUUUUUAAGAAAAAGCUACAUGUAAGGCUUUGUUUUUUUGGCAGCAAUACAUGUUAAUUCUCUCUAA